This 227-nucleotide ribosomal RNA is filed under the name uncultured bacterium. RNAcentral's name for it is "partial 16S ribosomal RNA". It matches the Rfam family "Bacterial small subunit ribosomal RNA", at positions 383 to 607 of the family's 1533-position model. The record is from RNAcentral.
CUGAACCAGCCAAGUAGCGUGAAGGAUGACUGCCCUAUGGGUUGUAAACUUCUUUUAUAGGGGAAUAAAGUUGUCCACGUGUGGAUUUUUGUAUGUACCAUAUGAAUAAGGAUCGGCUAACUCCGUGCCAGCAGCCGCGGUAAUACGGAGGAUCCGAGCGUUAUCCGGAUUUAUUGGGUUUAAAGGGAGCGUAGGCGGAUUGUUAAGUCAGUUGUGAAAGUUUGCGG